RNAcentral lists this ribosomal RNA (448 nucleotides) under uncultured bacterium. RNAcentral's name for it is "partial 16S ribosomal RNA". It matches the Rfam family "Bacterial small subunit ribosomal RNA", at positions 328 to 792 of the family's 1533-position model. The record is from RNAcentral.
GGGCCAGACUCCUACGGGAGGCAGCAGUGGGGGAUAUUGCACAAUGGGGGGAACCCUGAUGCAGCGACGCCGCGUGGGUGAAGGAGUGCUUCGGCAUGUAAAGCCCUAUCGGCAGGGAAGAAGCAAGACGGUACCUGACUAAGAAGCCCCAGCUAACUACGUGCCAGCAGCCGCGGUAAUACGUAGGGGGCGAGCGUUAUCCGGAUUCACUGGGUGUAAAGGGAGCGUAGACAGCCAUGCAAGCCAGGGGUGAAAGCCCGGGGCCCAACCCCGGGACUGCUCUUGGAACUGCGCGGCUGGAGUGCAGGAGGGGCAGGCGGAAUUCCUGGUGUAGCGGUGAAAUGCGUAGAUAUAUGGAGGAACACCGGUGGCGAAAGCGGCUCUCUGGCCUGUAACUGACACUGAGGCUCGAAAGCGUGGGGAGCAAACAGGAUUAGAUACCCCAGUA